Molecule: ribosomal RNA, 462 nt
Filed under: uncultured bacterium
Lineage: Bacteria
Description: partial 16S ribosomal RNA
Rfam family: Bacterial small subunit ribosomal RNA
Source: RNAcentral
GACGAACGCUGGCGGCGUGCUUAACACAUGCAAGUCGAACGGAAAGGCCUUUUCGGAGGUACUCGAGUGGCGAACGGGUGAGUAACACGUGGGUGAUCUGCCCUGCACUCUGGGAUAAGCCUGGGAAACUGGGUCUAAUACCGGAUAGGACCGCACUUUAGUGUGUGUGGUGGAAAGUUUUUUCGGUGUAGGAUGAGCCCGCGGCCUAUCAGCUUGUUGGUGGGGUAAUGGCCUACCAAGGCGGCGACGGGUAGCCGGACUGAGAGGUUGGUCGGCCACAUUGGGACUGAGAUACGGCCCAGACUCCUACGGGAGGCAGCAGUGGGGAAUAUUGCACAAUGGGCGCAAGCCUGAUGCAGCGACGCCGCGUGGGGGAUGACGGCCUUCGGGUUGUAAACUCCUUUCGCCAGGGACGAAGCGUUUUGUGACGGGACCUGGAGAAGAAGCACCGGCUAACUACGU